RNAcentral lists this ribosomal RNA (254 nucleotides) under uncultured bacterium. RNAcentral's name for it is "partial 16S ribosomal RNA". It matches the Rfam family "Bacterial small subunit ribosomal RNA", at positions 524 to 776 of the family's 1533-position model. The record is from RNAcentral.
UACGAAGGGGGCUAGCGUUGUUCGGAAUUACUGGGCGUAAAGCGCGCGUAGGCGGUUUUGCAAGCCAGAGGUGAAAUGCCUGAGCUCAACUCGGGAAUUGCCUUUGUAACUGCAAGACUUCGAGGACUGGAGAGGUGAGUGGAAUUCCCAGUGUAGAGGUGAAAUUCGUAGAUAUUGGGAAGAACACCGGUGGCGAAGGCGGCUCACUGGCCAGUUUCUGACGCUGUAGCGCGAAAGCGUGGGGAUCAAACAGG